GGUACAGAGUCAAUGUGGAGACUAUAUACAGGGUAUUACGGUACAGAGUCAAUGUGGAGGCUAUAUACAGGGGGUACUGGUACAGAGUCAAUGUGGAGGCUAUAUACAGGGGGUACCGGUACAGAGUCAAUGUGGAGACUAUAUACAGGGGGUACCGGUACAGAGUCAAUGUGGAGACUAUAUACAGGGGGGUACCGGUACAGAGUCAAUGUGGAGACUAUAUACAGGGUGUUACGGUACAGAGUCAAUGUGGAGACUAUAUACAGGGUGUUACGGUACAGAGUCAAUGUGGAGACUAUAUACAGGGUGUUACGGUACAGAGUCAAUGUGGAGACUAUAUACAGGGUGUUACGGUACAGAGUCAAUGUGGAGGCUAUAUACAGGGGGUACCGGUACAGAGUCAAUGUGGAGGCUAUAUACAGGGGGUACCGGUACAGAGUCAGUGUGGAGGCUAUAUACAGGGG
Oncorhynchus tshawytscha (Chinook salmon) is the source of this 464-nucleotide long non-coding RNA. The record is from Ensembl. Lineage: Eukaryota; Metazoa; Chordata; Actinopteri; Salmoniformes; Salmonidae.